CAGAUGAACUAAAAGUGCUUAAAUACUGAACAGGAAGGAGAGGUAACUGUAAGAAUCGCCCUGGGAAUGCCUAAUCCAAAGGAGCAGCUCAAAUGACAGGCACACAGAUGGAUGCAUUGUGUGAUUAAUGAUGUCUCCCAGGCCUGGUGGAGAGGAUGCAGGAAAUGGUGGCAUAUAUAAGCGAGUCCUCUUUUUGGUUUAGUGCUCCUUCCACGGUUUGAAGUAGAGAAGAAUCAGGUAAAAUUCCAACCUCAUUGUUUGCUAGAAAAUAUGAAGGAUAAAGUCGCCAGGACUUCACUUUGUGCUACUGCAAGUGCAUCAAAACCAAUAUUGUGUCUUUAGCAUUCGAAUCCAUGAACUUCUGAAAGAGAAACCAAAAAGCCGUGUCAGGUAUGGUUGGAGCCCGCAUUUUCAUUUGGGAGCAGAAGCAUGUCACAUAGUCUUCUAAAAAGAGAAAUUUUGCUUAAAAAUGACACAACAAAAUAAAAUGCUGACUAAGUCAUGGUAAGAAGUAGUCUUUGAAUUUGAAUAAAGUGUAGCAGUGCUGUAAAGGCAAAGAAA
RNAcentral lists this long non-coding RNA (561 nucleotides) under Pongo abelii (Sumatran orangutan). RNAcentral describes it as "lincRNA". The record is from RNAcentral. Lineage: Eukaryota; Metazoa; Chordata; Mammalia; Primates; Hominidae.